AUUGAACGCUGGCGGCAGGCCUAACACAUGCAAGUCGAACGGUAACAGGAAGAAGCUUGCUUCUUUGCUGACGAGUGGCGGACGGGUGAGUAAUGUCUGGGAAACUGCCUGAUGGAGGGGGAUAACUACUGGAAACGGUAGCUAAUACCGCAUAACGUCGCAAGACCAAAGAGGGGGACCUUCGGGCCUUUUGCCAUCGGCUGUGCCCAGAUGGGAUUAGCUAGUAGGUGGGGUAACGGCUCACCUAGGCGACGAUCCCUAGCUGGUCUGAGAGGAUGACCAGCCACACUGGAACUGAGACACGGUCCAGACUCCUACGGGAGGCAGCAGUGGGGAAUAUUGCACAAUGGGCGCAAGCCUGAUGCAGCCAUGCCGCGUGUAUGAAGAAGGCCUUCGGGUUGUAAAGUACUUUCAGCGGGGAGGAAGGGAGUAAAGUUAAUACCUUUGCUCAUUGACGUUACCCGCAGAAGAAGCACCGGCUAACUCCGUG
This 490-nucleotide ribosomal RNA is filed under the name uncultured bacterium. RNAcentral describes it as "partial 16S ribosomal RNA". It matches the Rfam family "Bacterial small subunit ribosomal RNA", at positions 30 to 507 of the family's 1533-position model. The record is from RNAcentral.